UUUCUACUCCCUCCAUCCGAAAAUACAUGUCAGAGAAAUGGAUAAAAAUGGAUGUAUCUAGAACUAAAAUAUGUCUAGAUACAUCAAUUUCUCCGACAAGUAUUUCUUGACGGCGGGAGUGUUAU
Non-coding RNA from Triticum urartu, 125 nucleotides. The record is from Rfam. NCBI's taxonomy places the organism in Eukaryota, Viridiplantae, Streptophyta, Magnoliopsida, Poales, Poaceae.